RNAcentral lists this ribosomal RNA (222 nucleotides) under Triticum aestivum (bread wheat). Its description in RNAcentral is "partial small subunit ribosomal RNA". Lineage: Eukaryota; Viridiplantae; Streptophyta; Magnoliopsida; Poales; Poaceae. The record is from RNAcentral.
AUGGUGUUUUUAGCUGCUACGAGGAAGAAACAGUUUGACGAAAGUGAUUGUCAAGAAGAAAUUCUAGAAGCUAAGAAGGCUUUCUGAGUUAAAUAUUUUAGUGUUUUGGUUGAUAUGGCGACCAAUUCUUUGAAUGAUAGAUUCAAAGAACUCGUGGAGUUUAAAGAUAUAUUCGGAUUUGUAUUGAGCUCUGGCACCCUGACAUCAUUAAGUGAUAAUUAA